Molecule: ribosomal RNA, 466 nt
Filed under: uncultured Pseudomonadota bacterium
Lineage: Bacteria; Pseudomonadati; Pseudomonadota
Description: bacterial SSU rRNA
Rfam family: Bacterial small subunit ribosomal RNA
Source: RNAcentral
AGAGUUUGAUCAUGGCUCAGAGCGAACGCUGGCGGCAGGCCUAACACAUGCAAGUCGAGCGCCCAGCAAUGGGAGCGGCAGACGGGAUAGUAACACGUGGGAACGUACCCUUCAGUUCGGAACAACCCAGGGUAACUUGGGCUAAUACCGAAUACGUCCGUAAGGAGAAAGAUUUAUCGCUGAAGGAUCGGCCCGCGUCUGAUUAGCUAGUUGGUGAGGUAAUGGCUCACCAAGGCGACGAUCAGUAGCUGGUCUGAGAGGAUGAUCAGCAUCACUGGGACUGAGACACGGCCCAGACUCCUACGGGAGGCAGCAGUGGGGAAUAUUGGACAAUGGGCGCAAGCCUGAUCCAGCCAUGCCGCGUGGAUGAUGAAGGCCCUAGGGUUGUAAAGUCCUUUCGGCGGGGAAGAUAAUGACGGUACCCGCAGAAGAAGCCCCGGCUAACUUCGUGCCAGCAGCCGCGGUA